Molecule: long non-coding RNA, 1226 nt
Organism: Trichosurus vulpecula (common brushtail)
Lineage: Eukaryota; Metazoa; Chordata; Mammalia; Diprotodontia; Phalangeridae
Exons: 9
Source: RefSeq, a predicted model, not a curated record
AGUCUCCUACAGUGUGGGGUACACUUGCAGUGUCAAUGGAUAGUAACAAUUGCAAUAACUGGAACAACGGUUUUCCGUAGAGCAACAUCCUCGGGUCAGAGCCUCCUAUCCGUAAACAUUCCAAAAAGUGAAAUGUAAGAAACAUAAAAGCAGUGAUCAAGAAAAGGUUAUUGAAGUGCUGUGUCAAGACCAGUCUGCUCCCAUGUUGCCCCUGUUGCCAGCUGAUCAGAAAUGCCUCAUCUUGACUAAAGUAGGGAAAUCAAUGGGACUUCUUGCUUUAUGGAGCAUGACAUUGAGGACUGUCUCCCUACACGCUACAGUGCUUGGCUCACAGAAGGAUAAAUUGGCUAUCAGUUGCAUUGCACCAUAGGAGGAAUAUCUGCCUGGACAAUCCUCUUCUUUAUUUCAUUUCCUUGGAGAGUAAGCCAGAUUUGGAGUCACUAGACGAGGAGGGAGGCGAAGCUAGAAGAGGUGCAGAGUUUGAAUUGUUCAUAGCAGUGUCUGCUUUGGGAGCCAAGGAAAGGUUGGAGAAAGAAGCCAGUGUAUGCCCAGGAGGAACUUCACUUUGUGAAGGGGAGAAAGGAACUUCCAGAAACCAGGAGCUGUAUCAAGACCAUAUCUGUGUCAUAAAAGGAAUUUGAGCCUUCUUCCGUUCAGAUCCAGGGCGGUUGACCUUCUGCCGGCCUCCUUUUUCAUCAGCUCAGCACGUGAGGAGCUGGCCUGUAUCAUUCAGUAAACAGAACGGUGACAGGGGCAGUGGAAGGAGACUGGUCAGAGCAACUAACACCAGUCUUGGUUGAAGUCAAGGUGAUGGAUUAGGGACUCCUGAUCCAUUUGAACUUCAUCCAGCUGAACUCUCGCAACAUUCCUUUCCCUGCAACUUUAAAGUAACACCUCAAAUCAAAUUUUGGAGUGGCACAAUCAACAAAAGGUCGGGGUGAGACAUUUUUUCUGGCAUAAGUAAACUUAGGUCACCAAGAGGACUCUAACACAGUGGUGUAAAGUCCUGUCCAGAGCUGGUGCAACAGCAGCUGCAGCAGCAGCAGCUUUGGGAGUUCUCAGCUCUGAGGCAGUAAGGGUGCUUGUAUAACUGGUCAGAAAGAGAUUACAGAUACUUUGCUGGCACAGGUACAGCUGGUGCUGAUUGCCCAUAAGCAGUUCUGGGUUGCAGUUUCAGGGCAGAGUGGAGCACUAGUGGUCAGCACAAGGGACCAGGGGCUCCUGUC